Paramuricea clavata is the source of this 84-nucleotide non-coding RNA. The record is from the annotation of a GenBank genome assembly. Lineage: Eukaryota; Metazoa; Cnidaria; Anthozoa; Malacalcyonacea; Plexauridae.
AUAGGUCAGGGCGCUUAUAUAAUAUAUGUUAUAUAAUUUAUAAUAUAUAUUAUAUUAUAUAUUAUGUAAGCGCCCUGGUAUAGG